Molecule: ribosomal RNA, 513 nt
Filed under: uncultured bacterium
Lineage: Bacteria
Description: bacterial SSU rRNA
Rfam family: Bacterial small subunit ribosomal RNA
Source: RNAcentral
AUCAUGGCUCAGAUGAACGCUGCGGCAUGCUUACACAUGCAAGUCGGACGGCAGCGGGGGUAGUGCUUGCACUACUGCCGGCGAGUGGCGAACGGGUGAGUAAUGCAUUGGAACGUACCGAGUAGUGGGGGAUAACUGUCCGAAAGGAUAGCUAAUACCGCAUACGACCUGAGGGUGAAAGCGGGGGACUUUUUUAAGCCUCGCGCUAUUUGAGCGGCCAAUGUCUGAUUAGCUAGUUGGUGGGGUAAAGGCCCACCAAGGCAACGAUCAGUAGCGGGUCUGAGAGGAUGAUCCGCCACACUGGGACUGAGACACGGCCCAGACUCCUACGGGAGGCAGCAGUGGGGAAUUUUGGACAAUGGGCGAAAGCCUGAUCCAGCCAUGCCGCGUGUCUAGAAGAAGGCCUUCGGGUUGUAAAGGACUUUUGUCAGGGAAGAAAGCAGAAUGAUAAUACCAUUUUGUGAUGACGGUACCCGAAGAAUAAGCACCGGCUAACUACGUGCCAGCAGCUGC